GGCAAGAUGGCCGAGCGGUUAAGGCGGGAGACUCAAGUUCUUCUGGGGCAACCCGCGCGAGUUCGAAUCUCGCUCUUGUCA
This 81-nucleotide transfer RNA is filed under the name Rosellinia necatrix. Its description in RNAcentral is "tRNA-Leu". It matches the Rfam family "tRNA". Rfam says of the family: Transfer RNA (tRNA) molecules are approximately 80 nucleotides in length. Lineage: Eukaryota; Fungi; Ascomycota; Sordariomycetes; Xylariales; Xylariaceae. The record is from RNAcentral.